Ribosomal RNA from Sorex araneus (European shrew), 119 nucleotides. Lineage: Eukaryota; Metazoa; Chordata; Mammalia; Eulipotyphla; Soricidae. The record is from Ensembl.
GACUAUGACCAUUCCACUCUGAAUGCUCCUGAUCUCAUCUGAUCUUGGAAGCAAAGCAGGGUUGGACCUGGUUAGCACUUGAGUAGGAGACUGCCUGGGAAUGCUGGGUGCUGUCGGCU